RNAcentral lists this ribosomal RNA (411 nucleotides) under Pseudoalteromonas sp. D1. Its description in RNAcentral is "bacterial SSU rRNA". It matches the Rfam family "Bacterial small subunit ribosomal RNA", at positions 63 to 477 of the family's 1533-position model. The record is from RNAcentral. Lineage: Bacteria; Pseudomonadati; Pseudomonadota; Gammaproteobacteria; Alteromonadales; Pseudoalteromonadaceae.
CGAGCGGUAACAUUUCUAGCUUGCUAGAAGAUGACGAGCGGCGGACGGGUGAGUAAUGCUUGGGAACAUGCCUUGAGGUGGGGGACAACAGUUGGAAACGACUGCUAAUACCGCAUAAUGUCUACGGACCAAAGGGGGCUUCGGCUCUCGCCUUUAGAUUGGCCCAAGUGGGAUUAGCUAGUUGGUGAGGUAAUGGCUCACCAAGGCGACGAUCCCUAUCUGGUUUGAGAGGAUGAUCAGCCACACUGGGACUGAGACACGGCCCAGACUCCUACCGGAGGCACCAGUGGGGAAUAUUGCACAAUGGGCGCAAGCCUGAUGCAGCCAUGCCGCGUGUGUGAAGAAGGCCUUCGGGUUGUAAAGCACUUUCAGUCAGGAGGAAAGGUUAGUANUUAAUACCUGCUAGCUGUG